This 1106-nucleotide long non-coding RNA is filed under the name Phasianus colchicus (ring-necked pheasant). RNAcentral describes it as "lncRNA (ENSPCLG00000010840.1)". Lineage: Eukaryota; Metazoa; Chordata; Aves; Galliformes; Phasianidae. The record is from RNAcentral.
UGGAGAAGGCCUGAAAAAAGAAACUUUCUGCUCCUGUAGCCCCUGGCACUGCAUCUCCUUGCUUUCAUAUGCUGAUGCCUAUGUUGCUUGUGCACUGAACCAACCCUAAUAAUUCUUAAACAAACAAACAAAAAAAACAAAAACAAAAGAAAAAACUUCUGAACACUGCUAUACCUGAGCGUUAGCAAAGCAAUGGCAUUUCCUUGUUCAGCUGAAAAGAAGGACUGAAGCUGUUCUGGGAUUUCAUCAUACCUAUUUCAUCAUACCUUCUAGAAAGCAAGUGUAUUCUCUGAAGUCUGAUAAAAAGAAACUGCCAUCUGUUAGGCCAUGAAGCACGAGAAAUAUCAGAAGAAAAUUCCAAAGUAGCCAUGCUCUGAGAGUAUUUUGUCCUGAAUUGAGUAAUGCUCAAAUGUUAUCUGAAUGUUGGAAGAAACCAUUUAAAAGAAAAAUCUUUACAAGCAAUUAUGCAUGCUGAAGCAAUCUACAUAGCAUACAGAAGAUUAUGCAGGUACUCAACUGGAACUUCUGCAAGUGAAAUACCAUGAGUGAAACACAUACCUGCUGACUCUACUGCAGACUGCUGCUGCUUUUAUUAUAUGUGUGGUUUUUUGUUUUUUUUGUGAGUGAUUUCUACUGACUUUAUGGAAAAAUAAUUACUUUUUCUUUGCCUUGUAAUUUUUGAGGUCCAGCCAGGCAUAUGGAAAAUUGGCCAUAGUGUAUGGGUAGUGUAGAGGAACUGUUGGAUCAUGGCUUGAACUGGUGAUUGAGCACCUGGUGAAGCAGUGUGACUGGCCCAGGGAGCACAGGCAAAUUGUUUGCACCUGUGCUCCCCAGGUGACUACAAGGGGUGGAGCCACACUGGGCUCAUAUAAGGGCUGGCCACUGAAGGGAGAGCACCUCUUGGACCUGUAGUGGCUUCCUGAGAAGGAGUGCUGCGUAGUCAGAUAUCUUUCACUGGUUAGGUGAGUUCAGAUUUUUUUUUUUUUUUUUUUCUUCAGUAUCUGACUACUGGCCUCCCUGUGAAUACUUUGCCUGGUCUGCCAUGAAUCUGUCAGAAGCAGUUUUGCUUCUUCAUGAGCAGAAUUUUUAGAUUCAUUAUACAGGCA